GGGGAUGUAGCUCAGUUGGCUAGAGCGCUUGACUGGCAGUCAAGAGGUCGCCAGUUCGAAUCUGGUCUUCUCCA
This 74-nucleotide transfer RNA is filed under the name Bacteroidetes bacterium MED-G20. Its description in RNAcentral is "tRNA-Ala". It matches the Rfam family "tRNA". From Rfam's summary of the family: Transfer RNA (tRNA) molecules are approximately 80 nucleotides in length. The record is from RNAcentral. Lineage: Bacteria; Pseudomonadati; Bacteroidota.